GGUCUUGAAGUUAGUGGGUUUUAACACUAUACGCGGAGUAUAGAGGUCACAGGUUCGAAUCCUGUCUUGACCA
RNAcentral lists this transfer RNA (73 nucleotides) under Tenacibaculum phage pT24. It matches the Rfam family "tRNA". Rfam says of the family: Transfer RNA (tRNA) molecules are approximately 80 nucleotides in length. Lineage: Duplodnaviria; Heunggongvirae; Uroviricota; Caudoviricetes. The record is from Rfam by way of RNAcentral.